Molecule: long non-coding RNA, 27455 nt
Filed under: Ananas comosus (pineapple)
Lineage: Eukaryota; Viridiplantae; Streptophyta; Magnoliopsida; Poales; Bromeliaceae
Description: long non-coding RNA (ACOM_LNC003553)
Source: RNAcentral
GAAGUAGUAGCGCCGGGAGUGCCGGCUAUUCUUGCCGUAUUAAUUGUGCAGCCGACCCUUUUUGAAAGGAUUAAAGAGUUACAGGCUUCGGAUCCUUAUCUCCAAAAGGUUCGAGGUGAAGUUGGACGAGGUAAUGCCGAAGACUUUGGCAUUGGCGUCGAUGGCGCACUUCGAUUUAGGAAUCGAUGGUGCGUGCCUAAUGAUGAAGACGUUCGAAGGGCGAUUAUGCAAGAAGCGCACCAAUCCCCCUACAGCAUACACCCUGGCAACACUAAGAUGUACCAGGACCUGAAAGUGCAUUAUUGGUGGCCGGGCAUGAAGCGAGAUGUUGGCGAGUUCGUGGCGCAGUGUCUCACGUGCCAACAAGUAAAAGCGGAGCGCCGAUUUCCGACGGGAAAGUUACAAAGUCUAUCAAUACCCGUUUGGAUGCGAUGGACUUUAUUACUAGUUUGCCUCGAUCACAAGGCGUACACGAUGCAAUAUGGGUGAUAGUGGAUCGAUUGACAAAAUCGGCACACUUUCUGCCGAUACACACUACGUGGUCGGGAGACAAGUUAGCUCAAGUCUAUCUCGACGAGGUUGUGAGACUUCAUGGGGUUCCGGUGUCGAUUGUAUCAGAUCGAGACCCCAGAUUCACAUCCCACUUUUAGAAGAGCUUGCAAGAUGCAUUGGGCACACGGCUCGACUUCAGUAUAGCGUUUCAUCCUCAGACUGAUGGACGGUCGGAGCGGACGAUACAAAUCCUUGAGGAUUUGCUUCGAGCAUGUGUACUCGAUUACAAAGGGUGGUUGGCAUGAUUUCUUGCCGAUGGCAGAGUUCGCGUAUAAUAACAGUUACCAAGAAAGUAUCGCGAUGGUGCCAUUUGAGGCAUUGUAUGGUAGGAAGUGUCGUUCUCUUGUCCAUUGGAGCGAUGUGGGCGAGAGGGCAGCUCUCGGCCCGGACGUAGUACGAGAGGCGGAGGAAAAAGUUCGCCUAGCCCUUCAACGGCUAGUGACGGCACAAUCAAGGCAGAAAAGCUAUGCCGACAAGCGAAGAAAAGACUUAGAGUUCGCGGUUGGAGACCGCGUAUUUUUAAAAGUGUCACCGAUGCGCGGAGUGAGACGUUUUUGGGUCCACGGGAAGCUAAGUCCUCGAUAUGUUAGACCAUUCGAGAUAUUGGAGCGUGUGGGUGUGGUGGCAUACAGGCUCGCACUACCAACGAGACUCGCGGGAGUUCACAACGUUUUCCAUGUGUCAAACCUUUGAAAGUAUAUUCGCAACUCGACACAUGUGUUAGAGUAUGAGCCCGUAGAGUUACGUGAGGAUAUGUCCUAUGAGGAGUACCCAGUGUGCAUCCUCUAUAGAGAGGAAAGGAAGCUACGGAGUCGCAGGAUUCCAUAUGUGAAAGUCCAAUGGGGUAACUAUGCGGUGCGAGAAGCCAAUUGGGUGCUCGAGGAGACUAUGCGAAGAGAGUAUCCGCAUCUAUUCGAGUCAACGAGUUAAGGUACGGUUAAUUUCGCGAACGAAAUUAUUUUAAGGGGUGGAGAAUGUAAUAUAUCGAAACUUCGGUAAACGAAUAUCGAACUUUAGUUAAAUUGACCAAAGUGCAAGAUUGGUACGCUUUUGAAAUGCCGAAGGCGUUAAAAUGAGUAAAAGUGCAUUGUGGGAGGUUUUCGAGAGCUAAAGAAUCAAAAAUCUGCAAACUGCAGUUUUUGGGCUCUCGAGGACCGGUCCCUGUUGGAGAGACUGGUCCCCGAACGUGUGAGAAGCCAGCGAGGGAAAAAAUUGGCUAAGUCCCUGAAGAUCAGCUCUCGGGAACCGGUCCCUGCAGGAGAGACCGGUCCGCAAGAGACCGGUCCCAUCGGGAGGGACCGGUUGCGUCUGGCGAUAGCCCUGCUGAGCUGCGGGAGAGCUCUCUGGGACCGGUCCCAGGUCGAGGAGACCGGUCCCUGAGCGCGAAAAGGGCCCAGUCUGGGCAGUGUAAUGGAAUAAUAGUUGAGGGGCGCAAAUGCAAUUAUGUAACAAAUGGGUUAUGUUAAGGGGUAUGAGAGCUCUUCUCCCAUUUCUCACCCACACACCCCUCUCAUUUCUCUCUCUUUCUCUCUCUAGAAGACAAGGAGGAGAAGAAGAAGAAGAAAAAGAAGAAAAAGGAGGUGGAGAACAAGAAGAAUGAGUGAAGAAACUCCCUCAUCUCCUUCUCUAGCUUGGUGAAGUAAAGCUUUUAGAGGUAAGCUUUGCCCUCUCUCAUGGUAGAACCCAAACUAGGGUUUGGAUUGAGCUAAGAAUGGUUUUUAUAGAACCUUUAGGGUAUUUGAAGCUUUCUUUUGCUUCUCUAAGAGAUCAAACCUAGGGUUAUGAUAUAUGUGAAGCUAGGGCACCCAAAUUUGGGGCUUUUGCUUGUGAGGGAUUCAAAGUGAAAUUGACCCUCUAGAAACCUAAUUGGGGGUAUUUCUGACGCGUUGGUCCGCUCGGUUUAAUGUUACGAAAAGCCUAUGCAGAGAUAUAAGCAAAAAGGGCCUAAUUUGGCUUCGUUUUGCCGCAGGUAACGAUCUAGGCGGCUAGAAAUUUCGAGAAAAUCACCGUAGCACCUAAGCAAGCCUACGAGGUGGGUGGUGCUAUCCAAACUCAUUGAAAUUCUUUCUAUGCCUAAUGUGUCAUUCAAUUGAGCAUAUCAAUAUAUAUUGUUACAUGCAUUAUACGGUAGAUGUGAUGAUAUCUAUGUGAAUGUUGCAUGAUGUGAGUACACCUGCAUUCGGAACGGUUGAGAACCUAGAGAAACCCUUUUUAUGCAUGAGAUGUAAUGUAAGAAUCCUAGUGGAGACAUGAACAAUGUGACACAAUGAACAUAGAUCGAGUGGUAUUCGAAAUUGUAGAGUUGACACUAGAGUUAGUGUGUGGUGUUAAGAAUAAAUGUGGCGUAAAGAGCGAUAACAAUGGCUAGAGAUAAUGUAAAGCAAUGUGGCAUAAAGAACGAGUAAAGCAAAAAGAAUAGCGACAAUGCCUAGAGUUAGCAACUAAUGUGAUGUAAAGAACACUAGAGUUAGUGUAAUGACAUGAUUGAAAUAAUUAUCUUUUGAGUUAAGGAUUUGAUCAUACUUGCUAUAAGUCCGUGCUCAAGGGUGGUAGCUCCCCCUCGAGCGAUGCGCUCCGGAGUUUGUCAUCACUGGGUUGGUGCUGUUCCCCAGAGGACGGUCCUAGCGGGAGGAAGCUGAGGGCCCGCGAUUAUGGAUUUUGAGUUGGCAAGUUAAUGAGGCAAAACCCCCGGGUUAGCCGUGAGAUUGAACGAAAGAACAAAGAACCAAAAGAAGAAAGAACUUGCAUAUUGCAUGAGUUUUUAUGUUGAGCAUCUUUAUUGCUAUAUUGUUCAGGCAUAUUAGUAUCAUGUGUAUAGUUUGGUUACUAUCUUUCAGCUUAUCAUUUCUAUUAUGCCUGAUUUAGACCUAGCGGGAAAGUCAGUGAGAUUGGGGCCGAACCCACUGGGAACUUCGUUGUAGUUCUCACCCCACUAUUUCCACAGAGCUGGGACCGAGCAUGCCGGCGAGCGACCAUGGUAAAGGUAUCGCACCCUAGACAGUGGCCACCCGAGUCGAGUUGUUUUACAUUUUGUUAGUAAUUUACCUAUGAUCAUCUUUUGUACUUGAUGACUAGUGAUGUAAAGCAAAGAAUGUAAAGUUUGUUUUGAGUUAAUGUGAUGUAAGAAAGAAAUGAUGAAAAGUAUGUAAAGAAUUAUGAAUGUACAAGUCAAGUGACAAGUAUGUGAUCAAAGUUUGAAUCAUAGUACAUGUUAAAUGUUUCAUUUACUAUUCUCUCACUCUUGGCUAUUGCUUACCCUCAUGUAAGCCGUUUGUGUAUGUUUCCGCUAGUGCUUUUCUUUAUUUGAAAAUGUACAGGUGAUGAGCCUUGGGCGGACAGAAAAAACUCUGUCCGUUCGGCGUCUGUUUGACGUGCCCGAACCGGCCCAAAUUGGUAUCGGCCUCGGGGCGUGACAGAUAAUAACCAUUAUCCAUUGGAGUGUCAAUAGGUUUCAAAUUAUGCAUUCGGAAUCGCUCCAAAAUUCUUUUAAUGUAAGUCUCUUGAGACAAACUUAAGAAUUUUCGAGAUCGAUCCCUAUGGAUCUUGACUCCCAAUACAUAAUCCGCUUGUCCCAUAUCCUUCAUCUCAAAAGUAGAGGACAACCACUUCUGUGUGGUGAUAAUUAACUUCAUAUUAUUUCCGGCUAACUAGAUAUCGUCUACAUAUAGUAAAAGAAUAAGAAAACUUUUUUCUUACCUUUUAACGUACACGCAAUGGUCUUCUUCGAUCAUCACAAAGCCUAUUGAAACAAUUGCUCUAUGAAAACAUUGAUACCAUUGCCUAGACGAUUGUUUCAAGCCGUAAAUGGAACGUUUUAAGCGGCACACUUUGCGCUCUUGUCCUUCGGCCAUAAAACCAGGAGGUUGAUUCAUAUAAAUCUCCUUGUCUAGUUCCCCAUUGAGAAAUGCAGUCUUCACAUCCAUUUGGAACAAUUCCAAAUCUAAAUGUGCGAUGAUAGCCAGAAUCAAGCGAAUUGAGGCAAACCUCACCAUUGGGGAGAAUAUCUCUUCAUAGUCUACUCCCUCCUCUUGGGUGUAUCCUUUCGCCACUAGUCGGGCCUUAUAUCUAUCAAUUGAUCCAUCCGCCUUCCGUUUUAUUUUAAAAAUCCAUUUAUUUCCAAUAGCUUUACGUCCAGACGGAAGAUCUACUAACACCCACACAUUGUUCCUAGCCAUAGAACUCAUCUCAUCCUCCAUAACAGCUAGCCAUUUAUCACAAACUGGUGAACUCAUAGCUUCAACAUAAGAAGCUGGCUCAUCAACAUCCGUAGAAGCACACAUGAACGAUUCCCCUUCAAUCUCAAAUCAACGACGGGGAAUACCUCCACAUUUACUUCUUCGUAAUAAUGGACUUUGUGAGCCAUGGUCAAUUGGCACACUCCCACUGACCAUAGGAUCGCUCCCACUGUUUUGGGCUAUUUUUUCAUGUGGCCUCAGUGCCUCAUUCUUGCCUAACAAUGGGACAUUUCCAUUUAGUUCUUGCAACUCAUAUAGUGCAAGAUCCUUUUUAAUCUCACCAAUGUCUGAAAAAAUAUUCUCAAGAAAAUCCACAUCGCGCUACUCUAUCUCAGUCAUUCCUCCAUCAGGAUGCUUGCCAUACAUCACAUAGCCUUUCGAGCAAUCAGAAUAUCUAAUAAAAAUUUAUUUAUUUGCUCUAGGGCCUAACUUUUCAUAUUUAUGAGAAGUAUUAUGCACAUAUCUUGCCGAUCCCUAUGGGUAUAUGGUUUUCAAAUUUGCCUUUAUACCAUGCCAUAGCUCAUAGGAAGUUGAAGGACUGACUUAGAGGGCACUCGGUUAAGUAUAUAGGCAGCAGUCAACAGUGCAUCACCCCAAAAACUAAUUGGGAUUGGCUUGCGCCAUCAUUGACCUAACCAUUUUCAAAAGUGUCCUAUUCUAACCUCUCUGCAACACAAUUUUGUUGCGGAGUGCCGGGAACAGUUAACUAUCUGCUUAUUCCCUUUUCCUCACAUAGUUUCCUGAACUGCUCUGAUAAAUACUCUCGUCCUCUAUCAGUACGUAGAACUUUUAGAGUUCUUUCUGUUUGGUUCUCAACCUCCACUAAGAAGCGUUUGAAAUAAUCUAAAAACUUCUGAACGGUGAGACAAUAGAUAUACUGAACUAUAACGGGAGUAGUCAUCAAUGAAAGUGAGGAAAUAGUACGCGCCAUGACGUGCUCUCAUAUUCAUAGGUCCGCAUAUGUCUGAAUAAACUAGCUCUAAUGGAUCAGUUGCUCUACGUGUCUUACCAAAAGGCUUUCUGCAGGCCUUCACUGCUAAACAUAGUUCACAAGGAGGUAGACUAAACUUAGCAAGUGACCCCAACAGGCCUUCUCUAGCUAGUCGAGCCAUUCUUUCUUGUCCAAUGUGACCCAAUCUCGCAUGCCAUUUGAUAGAAUCAAACACAAUAUCAGAAGAAACUAAUAAAGUAGAAUUAUUGUUAUUAUUAAUGAAAUCCAAGUCCAAAUCUAAGACAAAAAAAUCAUUCUUUAAACAACCAUUACCAUAAAAGUCCUUGCCCAAAUAAAUAGCUAACUGAGUAUCCGUAAAUUGAAAAGAAAAACCUAAUCUUAGUAAUGCUAAAACUGAUAAUAGAUUACAUCGGAUGUUCGAUGCAUACAGCACAUCAUGUAAUAUCAAAUAACGACCAUUGCGCAAUCUAAGUUGGUAUGCGCCUAUACCAAGGACUUCUUCCUCAGUGUCGUUUUUCAUCAUGACAUAAUGGCUGCCAGCAGACACCUGAUGAUAAUCCACAUAUCCUGCUCGAUCCCUCGUUACAUGCUUUGUUGCUCCUGUGUCUACAAUCCAAUCAGAGAGAGCGUGAGCAACAAAAACAUGCGAACAUACAUAAAUAAAAGAGUCAGGAUUGGGAUUUACCUUCUUCGGCUCAGUGCAAUCACGAGCAAAGUGUCCCAUGUUUCCACUGUUAUAGCAUUUCACUUUAUUUAAGUUUUUCUUUUCACGCCUGCCUUUGCGAUGCUUUUCAAUUCCGCCCUCAUUUGGCGCGCGGUUCCCAGUCAUUGCAUAUUUAUUUUCUCUAUUUCGGCACUUGUGCUUAGGCCACUUGCCUCUGCGCUGUCCACCGUGGGCAACGAGUGCAUUAGCACGGUACGCCUCUCUACGCUCCACUUCCAACUCAAGAAGUUGAGCUAUAUCAUUGAAGGUCUUAAUACCCUCAUUGUGAGUCAGCACAACCUUGAUUUGAUCCCAAGAUGAAUCUGGUAAGGACCUUAUAACUGACUAAACCUGUUGUUCGUGAGCUCACAACCGACUGCUUUAAGUUCUCUUAUCACAGCAAACAUCACCAUUAAGUGCUCUGCCAUAGAAUGCUUCGGGUCCAACAUGUAUUGAUUGAAUUUGAGAUCCAAGGCACGAAGCCUUGUGGUCGACGUGCUACCAUAUUUCACUUUGAGCUGCUCCAACAUAUUUUUAGCAGUCUCAUAAUUCUCAAAUUCUUUGGUCAAAUCAUCAUGCAUACAGCUCAAAUUGUAUAGCAUGCAUUUUGAUCUUUCUCAAGCCACUCAUUAUAGGCUUGCAAAUUGCGAUGGUGCUGCGCAGUCGUGCCUUAUUCAGGCCGAACCAUACUGUUGGUUAAAUGGCUAAGCAUCCCUUUCUCAUUUAGGAGAUAUUGAAUUUUUUUAUGCCACAUGUCAUAAUUCGUUCCAUCAAGCCGAUUUUGAUUUAAUAAAUCCGCGAUGGAAAAAUUUUUGGAAGCCAUAUAUCACUACAAUAAUGCACAUAAUUUUAAAUUAGGCACAAAUAUUCACAAUAUUAUUCUCAAUUCAAUUUGAUAAUUAAAUUUCUCACUGCAUUUUCAAAUCGAAAAUUUCGCCUUUAGAAAAGACUAAUAAUCAUCUUAUCCAAUGCAGAUUAAAAUAAUAUAUCAAAUUAAUCAAGAAUAAAUCCACGUCAUAAAUUAAUUAAUAUGCAAUAUAUUAAAUAAUAAUAAUAAUAAUAAUAAUUGCAUAUCAUAAUAUUAUAUAUAAAAGAAUGACAUGCUUAAUUUUCAUAACUAUUUGUUAGUCAGGAUGUAUAAGAGCAAGCAGUUUGAAGCUGAAGUUGUGGGUUCCAAUUCCAUCGCUGUCAAAAUAUAUACUUAUAUAUAUUUUUAUUAUCUUUUAUAGAAGGCCCUCCUGCGCAUGCGAGCCCCCGCAAGCCUGGCAUGGGCGCCUGGCAUGGGCGGGCCUCUUAUACGCAGCCUAUUGUGCUAUUGAGCUAUUAAUAAUUGGACAGGCUGACAGUGUGCUUGCAUGCAAGCUUCUUGCCUCAACCCAAUCCACGGCUUAUUAUAUUUUAACAAUUUAAAAAUAUAUAUUCGAUGUUAAAAAACAAAUCAUCGAGCGAAAACAAGCACUUUUGAGGCUCUGAUACCACUGUUGGAUAAAAUUAAUUAAAUACCCAAAUAAAACAAGUCGCAAGAAUCACAUAGAUUUUUACAUACCUCUUUUUGAUGCGGAAUAGUUCUUACUCGUUGCAAUCCGGCUACUAGAGUCGAUCGCCGCACACUGCUCAAAUCCCUAGGGUUUAUAAUGGUGCCCUAGAGCGAAUCCAAGAGAGAGAAUUUUGUGGAGAGAUGAUUCUUUUUUUUUUUUCGUUUUCUUUCGUGUGUCCUAUGUGGCGAAUACCUCAUAUAUUUAUAGGCCAUAAGGGAAACAUUAAUUCUAAUCAUAUUCUAACUAAAUCUCACAUAGAUAGAGAUUUAAACAGAUUAGGGUUUAUGUCACGCCACCGCCCCGAGACCGUUACCAAUUUGGCACGGUUCGGCGCGGCGAACGGACUGCCGAACGGACAGCAAUUCCUCUGUCCGCCCAAGGCUGGAACAACUAGAUUGUGUACAACAAGUUCCCAGGAAACAACUUGAAUACAUAACACAAUCAAACCACAACCACGAGAGCACAAACAGUGCUUAACCACUAAGAGCAAACAACACAUGUAAAGCAUACAAGUGAUAAAAGAGAGAUAUACUUAACUAUUGAUCCAUUUAACUUUAUACAAUUAUUACAACUUGUAUUCUUUCAAACCUAUACAAUGUAUAUACAAUCCUUUCAACCUCACCCUAUACAUUCAACUACUCUCAAAAUGGUACAGGGUACAACUAAUGCAUGAGGAAAGUAAACCUCUACUAAUGUCACUAGGGCGCUACGCCCUUGCCGCGAUCCUCACAGGGGACGCUCGAACUCGGACCUGCAAUAUGGUGGAGUGAGAACUACGAAUAGUUCCCAGUGGGUUCGGCCGCCGACUCCGCCGAUCUCCCCACUAGGUCUUAAGCAGGCACAGAUAGACAUGCAUCAUUCUAGAUAGAUAUAUAAAACUGAAAGCAGUAACCGUAAUGAACAGCUAUGAUCUAUCAAUGCCUCAAUCCAGAAUGAUGCAUGCAUGGAACUCAUAGUAAGAAGGCUGGCUAUCAAGCUACCAUGUUCAACAACAAAGUCAUUCAUCUGAUUACCCAAUCUCUCGGCGAACGCAAGGUUCGCUCACAAUCUCACGUCUCUAAGUCUCAUAGGAGAGGUGGCUAGCUAUUCACCUACCCCGAGACCGCCUGCGGACACUACACUGGUCCAAGGGCACUACACUGGCCCCCUCGCGUGCCAAACUCCGGAGUGCACUACCUGUGAGGAGCUACCUCCACAGGUGCAGACAGGCUAAGUGAGCUCGAUCCAAUCUCGUGAACUGGGACACCCUAACUAACCAGGGGUGAUAGCAACAUAGUAUCUCAACUAUACUAGUGUUUUCAUGCCACUCAUGCACUACUUAAUGCCACUCGUUCAAUGUUUAGGGUUAACUAGAUGCCACUCGUUCUCUUGACAAGUUCUUGAUACACUAGUUUUCCAGUAUACUAGGUUCAUCUCUGCAUAAACAUAUUCAUCAUAUAUAGGGCGAACUAUCUCAUGGUAUUCAACUCAUGCAUACUAGGUUUUCAUUCAUGGUAUCCACAACCUAAAACAUCACUAGCAUGCAAGGAUAUGUACAAUCACAUUUAACACCCUAUAAUGCUAUAUCGCAAUAUGUAAAUGAUCAACAUUAGUACUCAGACAUAAAGAGCAGCCCGACCGCUUCGGGAUGGCACUCCCCCACCUCUUGGUGAUGCCGUAACUCUUCUAUUGCGAUUCGCCGACGUUUCGACGCCUCGUUGGCCUUCUAAGCGAGAACGAAGCUCCGAAGGUCUUCUUGGCGAUAACUUCGCACCUACUCGACGGAUCGACGAACCGUCUUCGCCGACGCGUUCAGAGACCUAGCAAUUAGGUUUGCGACCCAUCAAAUUAGAUCAAAAUCCUAGAUUUGCCAAAAUCCCAAAUCGAAGCCCUAGAUCUCGAUACUGGAGAAAUCCGCGGUGCGAACUUCGAUUUCGAGCUCGAACCUUCUCCCUAGCUUCAAUAGGUUCCUUUUGAACCAAUUCCAAGCUAUAAAACCCUAGCUUCCAAAAUCCGCCAUUAAAGGGUUUGAGGUUUACCUUAAUACCAAGCUCCAAGCUUGAAGAGGGAGAGAAGAAGAUGAUCUUCUUCUUCUUCUUAGUCUUCUCCUUCUCUUUCUCCUUCUUUUCCUUCCUCUCCUUCUUCUUCUUCUCCUUCUCCUUCUUUUCCUUUCUAGAGAGAGAGAGGGAAAGAGUGAGAGAGAGGAAGAGAGCAACUGAGAGGGAGAGGGGUCCCCCUAGCCUCUCUUAUAAGCCACUUUGCAAAUAAAACCCUCAACUUUCCGCUUAUUACACAGCCUCUUACUGGGCAUUUUCGCAGUGAGGGACCGGUCCCAGGUCGGGGAGACCGGUCCCCGAGAGCUGCACAAUUAGGCAGAGGGGAUUUCGCGUUCGGGAACCGGUCCUUGCCUGAGAGACCGGUCCCCGGGAGACCGGUCCUUGUCCGAGAGACCGGUUCCCGAGAGCAACACCUUCGGGACUUAGCCAAAUUUCGGCUUCUCUCGCUGGGCCAACGUUCGGGAACCGGUCCCUGCCUGCCAGGGACCGGUCUCAUCAGAAACCCCCGCAGCCCAGCCCGAUGGGACCGGUCCCUCCCUGCCAGGGAUCGGUCCCCAAGAGCAUUUCUGCUCCAGUGCAGCUUUUGCACUGGUGCUCUCGCGGACACCUCCUCAAUGCACCUCAUGCAUUGCGAUCACCUUCGGACUCUCCGAAGCUCGCACGCUCGACAAUCAGUCGAUUCUUGACGAAGUCUAAUUCUCGGGUUUCGAGAAUUCACUUCCCUUACAGUUUAUCUGUUAGAUUUAUUCCUUAUCUCAUGUGGACUAGGAAUAUAACUGAUAAUUACAAAUAUUUAUUUCUUAUCCUAUAUGGAUUAGAAAUAUUUUAGAUAAGUCUCAAUGUGGACAAAUCCUAACAUAGUCAAUUUGGAAUGCUGCACUUGUUUUACUCGUACCUCCUAUUAUAAAUAUUAUAUUAUAUUCAAUGAAAUGUGUAGGCAAAUAAAUACCCUAUACAUUCCUUUCAAAAAAAAUGGGACUACUACACUUGGGCUUGAAAAUGUAACUUUUUAAGGCAAGAUCAGGCCCAAGUUGGCAAAAUAAACUGGGUGUUCGGGCCCAACCACAGUUUUCUCAUAUCAUAUCUAUCACAGAAUAAAUCUAUAAUAAUUGAGUGGGACUUAUUAAUUCUGACCGUCAUUGCAGUUGUUUAUUUUGCAGGAAUCGAAUUCAAAGAUUUUAUUCCACUCCGGAAUAGGAAUGACCCAAUCCAUUGGCUAAAUCCGACUUCGAAUCCCAAAUUAGCACAUUUCACUCAAAACCCUGUCUCGCAAACACCAUCCAGCCUAUUCUCCUUUCAUCAUUCCCCUCUCUUAACCAAGACCUUCUUAAAACCUAAAUUUCUAUUCCCAUUUAUAUUCUAAUAACGAGCCAUAUAUUUUUGAAUGAUUCGUCAUUUUAUUUUUCAUUCCUAUUCCAAUUAUGAAUCAAUCAUGCCUUUAGGAUAAAAUACAAAAAUAACUAUGCACUUUAGCUCACGCCCCAAUUACCUCCUCAUAUAAAACAAUGGCACCAUUUUCCAUCUGUACUUAACUAAUUUUCACAGUAGCUCCACCAAUUUAGAAUAAUUUUCAAUUUGAAUGCUUACACGAUACAAUCACAUGAAUUGACUCGGCAACCUCAUAAAGUGUUAUAAAAAAAAAAAAAAAAAAAAAAAAAAGGGUAACAAUAGUAAGAGAGAUCAUCUUUACUUCCAAACUGCAUUAUGGAAAGCCGCAAAUUAGACAUUGAGAUAUAGAACCUACAAGAUGUGCAGCUGUAAACUAGAAGUUGCAUGCGAAGGGAUAAUUACCAGAAGAGCUAAAACUGCAGCCGACAAUUUUUGUAAUUUAUUUACAAGGCUGAACACUUUCUGAUCCUGCGCUUGUGCCGCAACUGUCCCCACAACCGAAGAUAGCUAAGAACAAAACGCUGCAUUGGCUAGAAAGAAAUUUGUGUUGCUUGCUUUAGCUGCAUUCUUCUCAAAUCAAGAAGCAGAUGCUAACUUGAGGAAAUGAAUGAUCAUUUCUUCAUGUCAUUUCUACAUGCUUGUUCAAUAAAUAGCAAGAAUGUCCUACAAUUAUAAUUCGCUAAUGGUCUUAACAACAGUCCUUUUGCUGUAAGCCAUGUUUCUUAGCUACAGUGCAAAGGAUCUUUUGCAAAUGAAAUAUCUCAUCCUCCCUCUCUCGGAGUUCCUGCUUCAACCUCUCAAUCUCUGUGACAUGUUUGCACGGAUGCGGACAUGUUCUUUGCCUCUUUGACUCGCUGGUAUCAUCUUGUGCUUGUUCGAGUUCGGAAUUGAUGUUCUCGACCUCUCCCGCUCUCUUCUUUGACGUGUCGCACUUCUUAAACACGGCAUCUGCUGUCAUCUUUCGAGCAUAAAAGCUGGUGGUCUGUCCGCUGCUAAGCUUCAAGAAGAUGUGCUUCUGGGGCCGACCACAGGAGUCCUGUGAAUAAGGAUGAGGAGAGAAAGCAAGAGUCACUAAGUGAAAGCACAAGGCUCCUAACAUCUUCUAAACAACAGAUAGAAUGACCUGGAAAUUAUACGAAAAAAACCUAUCCUAGCAGUUCAUCUGAUGGCAAAAUUCAUUUCCAGCAUGAGUGCAUAAUGACAAUCUAUUAGCUAUUUGCUUAGGCGUGAAAACAGAUCGGAGCAAGGAUUAAACUACCCAUCAGCACAGGCCGUAUCCACCGUGCCGUGUCGUACUAGCAAGAUAUCGGCACGAUACAGCCUCCAUGCCGAUGACACAACUCAAAACCCUCUAUUCUUGAAAUUAGUAAGUAAUUUUCUCAAUAAAGUUCAAAAAAAUUGAUAAAAAUACAAUAAUAAAUAAUUGGUAUAAUUUGUUGCUAAAGAAAAUAAAUAUUUCAUGCCAUUAUAUGUCGGCACACAUAUUUUUUAUGACCGGCACGCAUCGGCACGGCUCGGCACACACGGUGCCGUACCGUGCUAGCAAGUUUCCAGCAUGCCCUCAUGCCACGGCACUUAAAUCCUUGGAUCGGAUAUUAUCCUACAAUAUCCGCAUCCAUAUCCGAUCUCAUCCACAUCCCGAUUAAAAAAAUCUGAAUCCAGUCGAAUACCGAUGCUGUUACGGUUUUAGAGAGCCAAAAAAAAUCCGGAUGUCUGAAAAAAAGAGAUAUGAAUACAAAUAUCUGGAUUUUUAGUAGCAUUACAUUUGCAUUUAUAUUAAUAUGUAAGGGGGAUGAUAUAUAUUUAUAUAUACUCCGGCUAUGGUGCUUUUAAAAGCACCAAGUACCUGGUGCUGGCAAGUUUUCCACCGUUAGAUUUAUCCCUUUGACCAAUUCCACCCCUUAAGUCAUGCUAUUCUACCAAUCACCCACUAAACCCUAAAAGAGACCACUAUUUUCCUAACCCUACAAAUCUUCAAAAAGAGGCCGAAAACCCACAAGCACCAAUGACUUGGUUCUUUUAAAAGUAUAGGAGUUCAAUUUUAUAUACAUAUAUAUUGAGUACGUCUCCGGUACUUUCGAAAGUACGGAGACCUCCGUGCUUGUAAGUUGUUUUCGAUAAUAGGACAUCCGAUUCGACGAUCGGAUCCGUUAGGUAUAAUCUAUCCUAUUGGAACUAUCUAGAAACCAAAUUUUAUAAUUUUUUGACAUCAUUUACCAAGCGAUCAAAAGGUCACAAAAAUAACUAUUUUAACGGCCGAUGUAGCACAUUUUUAAGUUCAAUGGUGUAGAAGUAUUCAAAUUACAUGAAAAUUUAAUAAAAAUUCUACUUCACAUCAAUAGCAAGAUCAAUACUUCGGAUUUGAAAUUUGAAUCCUUUAUCACUGUUUUUUAUGAGAUUUUUAUUUUCAGUCGUUCAUUUUGAGGCUACUCAUUCACUAGACAAACGAACUCAAAAAAUUAUGAAAUUUGAUUUCUAGAUAGUUCCAAUAGCGUAGAUCAUGUCUAACGAAAUCGAUCGCCGAAUCGGAUAUUCUAUCAUCGAAAACAACUUACAAGCACAGAGGCCUCCGUACUUUCGAAAGCAUAGGAGCCUAGCUCUCUCUCUCUCUCUAUAUAUAUAUAUAGUAGGAAAAUAACGUGGCUUUUUGUGUUCUUCCAUUUAUUUUAUAAGAGUUUUAUAUUAAAAUUGCAUUUAUAUUUGUUAAAUCUUAGAUUUUAUUCAAUAAAAUAUAGGUAUAUAAAAACUUAAACAUAAGUGUGAAACGUUAGUUGCAUUGUUGCUAAUGCUAGUUCAUGUUAGAAUAUAUAAAAAUUAGAAUAAUAUCUGAAUUCAAAUGCGAUCCAUAUCUGAAUCCGAAGAAAUAUUUGACCGUAUCAAAAUCCGUUUUUAGCGGAUAUGAUAACGCACAUAUAAACAUAUCCGAAUUCGUAUCCCAAAAAAAAUAGAUUCGAAUAUUAUUUUGUCCAAUAUCCAAGGCGUAUCCGAUCCGUUUUCACCCCUAUAUUUGCCACAGGUAAUAAUGAAAUCCAUAAUUGCAGCUUAAAAGAUCUAAGCUGUGAUAUUUUUAGGAAAUCACUGAUUAAUUUAUUGACACCCUAAUUCAAUUGACUUAGCCCAAACUUGAGAGGUUGUCAAUCUUGAAAAAAAAGUCCAGAAUCCAUUUCGGAAAAUCCUUUAGUUAGGGGUCUCCAUACAUUUUAGCAAUAAAGAAAUUUCAACAGCUGCAGAAAAGGUACUUGGGAAAUUGCAGUAGAGGGAGCUCUCCAUACAUUUUUAGCACGCUUGAGGAACUAGUCUCUAUUCUAGUUAGUAGGCAGAAAAGAUCCUACUAUUUUCUUUCGUAAUUAAAAAGAAUUCUAAUUGGUUUAGCUGAAUCAAAGUCAGAUCAAGCUGACUAUUGAAUUUUUAGGUCUAACAAUAACCACAAAUCAUGGAUUAGAUUUUAACCAAAAACAAACAGACCAAAAAUUUAAUUGAUCAAACAAAAGUUCCCAAACGUGCACACAUAUAAGGGCUUUUUUUCAUUAUAAUCUUUAAAAUUUUUAUGUUUGAUGAUAUGACCACCUAAAAAAAAUAUAUAUUUGGGGAUCUAAGCUUAUUUUUUGCCACAUCAGCACCACGUCGGCACUGGGUUGGGAUUAUAUAUAAAACAGGAAGAAGCGAUAAAAUCAUUCGCCGCUUUCUUUCUAGAAAGAGGCCAUCUUAAUUAUUUUCUCCAAUGACCACCUACAUGGCACCAACAUCGCGAGAAGAGGGACAUAUCCUCAAAUAAAAUUUUGAAAAGGUUGUAUCCCCAAAUUUAAUGAAGGGCUCUUUUGAAACAGAGCGCCGCGCAGAGUGUGCCUUCAUUUAACUCAACAUUGGUCAAUCAGAAUUUAAAAUCAGUUCAGCCAGUGAUCACAAAAUUUGUCGUCGUUUCUCGGGUAAAUUAUCACUUAGUCCCUAUCCUAUUUGUUGGGUUUAACUGUGGUCCUGGACACUGAUUUGUAGCAUUAGCAGGCUCUUUUAACUUCUAAAAUGUUCCAAUCCUUUGUCCUUUAUCAACUUCUGUCGUCCAGAUAGAUGGAAAUCUGAUGUAGUAUGCUAAGUCACUCUUCCUAAGCCCCUUGAUUAUGUCUAAAUGGGAAAACUCCAGCAAUGAAAACACUAAUGCCGAAUUUUUUAUGGAUCUAAAGGGUAACAGAGAACUUAACACGGAGUUAUAAGGUUUCUGUGGAAGGACUUUUCCUGCUCGCACAUAAUUGAUAAGCGUGGGAACAAUGACUUGGUAUGCAACGUUGAAUUUUUGUCACGCAACAAACCAAGGUUUCAGAACCAAUACUGCAGAUACUAACGUUGUAACUUACCCGUUUCCUUGAAGUCAUCAGUUUUGAGUUGUGGUCCACAGUUGACCACUUACUAUUAGAGAAAGACUUGCUGAUAAUGGGUACAAAGUGUUCCACUACAUCCAUACCGUAUAAAUGUGUACAAGAAAACUUUGAGAAGAUUGUCAAUUUCGCACUACUUAUACCUGAUUAGGGUACAUAAAGAUGUAUAGAAACUGUAGACAUGUAAAAAUGACAUGAUGGCACAGAAAGACUAAAGAGGAAAAGCAAAUUGGAAACUUUUGAAUUACUGUAUAUACCUUGCUUUCCCGUCCAUCAAGCACUUUGAAUGCUUCAUUUGCUUCUGCAGCAUUUCUAAAGGAGACAAAUGUUGAAUAGCUUUCACCUCGCACUCUUACAUCUGUCUGCUGCGAAAGCAAUAAUACAAUUUUCAGAAACAAAGCUAACAUCAUUUCAUAAUAUAUAAAAGGCAACGACAAGUAACACCUCGACAGCAACACAAGAAUCUCUUGGGAAUACACUAAGCAGUAGUUGACAAGGUACAUCAACUGGAAUUUUGUGAAGCAGCAGCUUUUCCAGCUUAACUUCAGGCGCCUAAGAUGAUAGAGUAAAUGAUAAGUACACGUUCGCAAGAGGAGCCUAUUUUUGUUCACACAUACAUUAUUUCCAGACGCUUCAAUGGGAUCAUCAAAUCCAUGUUCCAACUUGGCAAGUACUAACUUCAUAGCAGCCCGUGCAUCAUUUAAGCAGUUAUGCGGUUCACCAUCCUCUCGAACAGCAAAUCCCAACACUGACUGCCAGAAUGAAAGAACCAGCACAACCAAAUGUUAUUCAUAAUCACAAAUAAGAGAAAGAAAGUACAUUACUUCCUUCUCAAGGAAUAUAUGUUGAUAUAUUUGUGCAAAUAUUAAAUUGAGCUCACUUUUCAGAGAGAUAUUGAUAGCAGUGAACCUUAUCUUUUGCUGUAAAAUUGUAGUCAAUUCAUAAAGUCAUAUAUGUGCGAUUCAUAGCAGCAACUAUUCUGAUAACUUGCAAAUACUAUUAGUCUACCACAGACUUGGAUGGAUAUCACAUGCUAGUUCUUCCCGAAAGACAGUUGAUCCAUCAAAGCAAAUAUCAAGAAGAGAAAUAAGCUCAAGAACAAAGCAGUUACACACUCAGCAGUGAAAUGAAGAAUGAUUGUACCCAUUCUGACAAUGCAGAAAAAGUGAAAAAAGCAAUACAGAAAUAGGGCAUGUGCGAGCUCCUUCAAACGUAGAUUUUGUUUCCCCUAUGUACCACACUAGAAUGAUACAGCAACCAAUCAUCCUGGAAACAAAAAUAUGGACCUUUUUGGAACUUGGUGUCAGAAAAUCACCGUAUUGUGAGAAACUUAGUAUUAUAUAAACUAAUGGCUCGUUGGAGCGUGUGGCCUGAUGGCGAAAGCGCCAUUCCGUGCACAUUUACGCAUAUACACCUAUUUGCCAUAGUUUGCAUUUUCAGUUUUACAUUAUUCAGUUAUCAGUUGCCUUGAUUUUUUUUUUUUGGCAUUGUGACAUAAUUAUCCCACCGUAGUCCCCUACAUUCUUAAGAGAGUCCAUUUUGGAUGAAGGUGCAGUGUGCACUGUUCAAGCGAAUGGACCCUAACACAUUUGUCCGCUGGCGUGUUACUGAAUUAGGUAUAAUACAUAAAAACACUAAAAUCCAGAAAAUGAUAAGGAUGGCCUAUUGGGGGAAGAUACAGCACUGACAUUAACCUCACCUGCAGGAGAAUUACCCAAAAACUUAACAACCAGGAAAAUACAUUGACGUUUGAUGCAUACCUUACACAAGUUGUUCAAGGAAGGAGAUGCUCCUGUAGGUAAAUCCAUAUACUUAAAAAUGUACGAUGUGUCGAUAACUUGGGGAUAAUCGAAUUUUAGUGCUGUAGAAAGUAGAAGAGAGAAGUUGAUCAUGAGCGGCACAUGUUUGAAUUCUAAAGAAAUAUUUAACAUGAAUCUCGGAAAUAGAUAAAACUAACAGACUAAGCUUGCACUUAUUCUUACCAUGCAAAUCAUUAUAUAAACUGUGGCCAACCAAAAUGGAUCCAUGUGAUAGGAGCUUCCUCAAGUUUUUCUAGAAAAUGUAGGGGACAAACAAUGUUACUUCAACGUAGAAAGAUCAAAAGGUAGCUGCAUAAGACAGAAAAUGACUACCUGUACAUCAACUAAUGAACAAGUAACUCCUUCCAAGUCUUUAGCCGAUAUGCCAGUGAUGUGAGUUCGAUAGUCGGCAACAGCUUUAUUGGGGUUUACAACUUUGUUCAGCUUAACCUAAAUCCAUUAGAAACUUGUAACCAAGUGACCAAAGAAAUGCUCCCGCAUGAAGAAAACUGGACUCAUACAAAUAUUAGUCUAUUAUACGAUUCAUUGAAUAGAAAAGUUUGCAUUUCAUCGCUUGCUCAUAAAGACUGUCUCCUGAAAUUGUCUCCUAAUGCAAUAGGCACUGUACCUCCAAAUUUUGAUCAACUGCACAUACUUUGACGACUGAUUCAGUACCAUCCUGGCAAAGGACCAUCUCACAAUCAAUUGAAAUCAUCGCUUUUGAGUUCAUCACCUCAGAGGUUUUGCCUAUUGUCAUUACCUUCCACCCCUGACAAGAAAUUUUAUCACAUAAGAUCUGAAAAUGAAUCUGGUUAGGGGCGCUAGAGUGACACUAAAAUGGAUUUUUAAAUCAAAGAUUUGAUUGUCAAAGUUUUUAAAUCCAAAUGUCACUGCCCAGUUUAGUUCUCAAAGAGCUCUCACGAUGAACUGGCGAAUGAAUAUAAAUGCUUCUCCCCAGUUAUGUCAUACCAAAGUGGGAUGUUAGGGGAGGGUAAUGACGGUAUCACUAACCUAGAGCACUUUUGCAUGAAGUGUCUAGAUUCAAGAUUUUGAACCUCCAACUAUGUGGUUUCGAGUCCAAGAAUUACCAAUGUACCAAGCAAAGGACACGAACAAGUAAAUGAAAUCAAAUUUUAUUCAUAGGAGAGUAUUUGAAAUUAGGACCACGGAUGAAAACAAUAAAAUUUUUGCCAAACUUAGCAUUCAAAAGGAUAGCUAAAUUACACAUUUGGUCCACAAACAAUGAGCGUGAGAAUUUGGUCCUCAAACUUCAGUUUGUUACAAUUUUGGCGCAUAACUUUUUGAAUUGUUGCAAUCAAAUCCCACAACCCAAUUUAAUAAACUAUAUGUUGACAAAUUAUUGACGUACAAGAAAUGUGGAAAUAUUGUGAUUGAUGAUGAGAUAAUAAUCAGGUAAAAACAUAUAGAACUAACCUGAACUAUAGACCAUUUUGAGUCGGCUACCUAAUCCUUCAAAUUUUUUAUUCUACUACUUGGCUUUUCAAUUUGUUUGAUUUGAAUCAAUCAACGGCAUUUUGAUUUCAAAAUUUGAACCCGUCGUUUAUCUUUACAAGUUUAAUUAGUAUACUUCAUGCAAUUUUCGCAAUUAUAAAUUCAUUAAAGUAAUUAGUUUAAAUUUUGCAGUCAAAGUGUCAUUCACUGACUCAAAUCAAACAAAUUGAAAACCUAAGUAGUAAAAUCAAAAUUUUGAAAGGUCAAGUAGCCAACUCAAAAUGGUCCAAAGUUCUAUACAUUUUUACCUAAUAAUUAAGAUGCUAUAUCACUUCUGUAUCAAUAAUUUGUCAAUAUUUAGCCAAUUAAAUUGGGUUGUGGGACUUGAUUGCAACAAUUCAGAAAGUUCGAGCUAGAAAUUAGAACAAAUUAAAGUUUGAUAACCAAAGUGUCACAAGCCUCAUAGUUUGAGGACCAAAAUUGUUAUUUACCCAAAAGGAUACUUCAUGCUAUGAGCUAAGAAUCAGUAAUAACUAAAAUGAGAAUGAAAAGAGAAUUUACUGUUUUGAACAUGAUCAUUUAGGAACUGCCAAUAGAAAAGGAGUUUUUCCAUAAAAGGUGGUCUGGUAAACAAAUAGAACGCUAAUGAAAACACAACAGCAGGUCCUAUACAUUUUAUGGUCUGGUAAACAAAUGGAACGCUAAUGAAAACACAACAGCAGGUCCUAUACAUGUUUUAAGUUGGACAAUUAAGGUUCUUAAGAGUAAAAAUAUAUUAUCAUCAUUCAAGAAGAAAUACAUUUUAGAGCUCACAAACAAAUCUAAAAAUUUAGAGUUAACCUAAAAUGACAUGGAAGUCUUAUACUAACAUAUAGAACAUGAUAUUCCGAAGGCUAAAAGUUCACUGCAGUUUUAAGGCCAAAUAUAUGAUCAUUUACAAUAGUAAUCAAACUUAUUAAAAUGAAAAUCGAAAUGAUAUGAUUACAGAUAACUCAAUAAUCAUUCUCAUUAAGUAUCACUCCAUCAUUUGCCAACAUGUCAACCCUGAAAUUUCAUGAUUGCAUAUAACAUAUUAACCAACUAUGAAAAAGAAUGAGAGACACUAAGGCAAAACUUCUAGAUGCAUUAAUUGGGCAUGCAUAAAAUUAAUGACUUGCAUUAGUUAACCUCAAAUCAGGGCCCUGAGUAGUAUUUAGUAAGCAGUAUUUACUAAGUAAUGGUAGCUUGUUCAAAUUAAACAUAAAUGAUGAAGCAGACAAACCUCAUUAUAGGAUGGAAAAAAGUAAUGUUGCAUGUGCUGCGGGUUUUCCAUCGUCAACCGGACCAAUCUCUGCAUAUUCAAGAUUCAAAACUGAACAUUUAAAACCAUUAUAAAUAACAGAUAUUAUCGCAAACUGAGAUUGACCAACAAUGGUCGGACAAAACAAGCAAAUAGAAAUCAAAGUAACCUAAAAGAUAGCUGGAGGUUCAGUUACCCUACUAAUACAAUUCCACUAUUAGCUUUCUCGCAACAUCGUCUCUCUACAAUUUGCUAGUAUCUAUAUCUGUAGUACAAGUCCACUUAUUAAUAUAAAUCUACACACUCCGUAUUGCAUUGUUUAGUCUACACUUACACCAGCAGAAGAAAACACUGACCCACGCCAACCUGUCGUGCCAGAAACUAAGCUGGAUUAAUCCAACCCGACAUAAAAUGUCAACAAAUGGACUAAAAGCAACCUAGACCCAAAUUGGUCUAAAUCCCAAGAAACCCAAAAUUUACAUCCAAUGACCCACAUGACCUUUAAUGUAGUACACUGAAUUUUAGCAAUUGCGAAGUUUGAGUGUUAGAAUAGUAAUUGAAACUAUUCUACAGCUUUUGAAGGGUUGCCAAGAGGUUUUCAGCAAGCUACAUGAGUGAUUAAGCGGCCGGAAGAGCGAAAGUGCAUUGCAACGUGCAAAUUCUGGACCUGGCACAGAGUACCGGUACCAGUAUGCAUGAGUACCGGUACCCAGCACACAGCAGCUGCGUGGCUGAGGUUGUUUUGGGUAUUUCACCCUUUGAGCUUAUCCUUUAUCAGUCCAGCUCGAGUCUCAGCUUGUUCUUAUCAGGUUGGGGGCAGGGAACAGGGUAAGAACCCUUUCUCUCUUUCUCUCUCUAGGUUUUUCCAUGAUUGAGUGGAAAAGAUGGAUUUGAGCUUGUUUCCUUUCCUUCUCUUGAUACUUGCUGGUUAGGAAGCUUUGAAGCUGUUAUAGAAGGACAGAGGGAGAAGUUCUGGAGGCUUUUCGCAGCCCAAACUCAGUGAGAAGCGGAGUUAAAGUCUUGUGAGGUAAGUGAUUCUACUAGCUACUAAGUUUGAGUGGUUAGUAGUGAAGUUGAGCAUGUUGUUGGUUGCUUUGCUAGCAGCUGGUGUGGGAGAUGCUACCAGCAGCUGUGGAAGAAAGUUUGGCUGUGGUUUAUCAACUCUAAUCUAAGGAAAAGCUGAACUAAAGCUAUUGGAAGGUAUACUACCUACUAGCCCUCUAGUUGGAUGUAUUGAUUGAAGUGUUGAAGCAGUUUUAAUGCAGUCCACAGCAGGUUCACAGCAAGGAAUUGGACUCCUUUGAGCUGAGUUUAGUGACUCUUAUGAGCUGACUUUGAGGUGCUUCAACCUGAGUUGGAGCCGUGCAAGGUGAGCAACCUAACUUUUUGCUAGUUGGUAUGUGUUGGUGGAGUAGUGAUGAAGUCUAUGGUGUAUGUUUACAACAGAAUUUUCAGCAGGGUAUUAGAUCCUUUUUGGCUGAGCUUGGGGAGCUUUCGAAGGCCGGUUUCGAUGUUCCAAUCUGAACCGAAGUGAAGAAUUAAGCCUUGAUACUAUACUAAGUAAGAUUCUAAGCCUAAACUAUGUAAAUAGGUGAGAUUUACGUGUAGAGAUUGAAGUUAAGCUUCUAGCUGAAUUUGGGGAUAUUUGCUAGGGUGCUUGGAGGCUUCAGAUCACCUUGAGCUGAGUUUUGAUGAUUCUUAAAAGCUGCUUUAAUGUACUUCAACCUGAUUUGAAGUAAAGUUCAAGUGUGGAUUCUAAACUAGGUAUGAUUCUACCUAGAUUGGAUGCAUACAUGAGAUUUUUAGUAAAAGUUGAAGUUCAACUUCUAACUGGAUUAGUAUACCUGCUAGGGCACUUGGAAGCUAGAGAACAUCUUCGCUUACGGGAUCGACAAAAGUCGAUGGCGAUUUGGUGGGUUUGACCUUACCGAAAUGGGUAAAUUCCCUCUAUGUCUUCUUGACAUCUGAAAGUGGAAUUGUUGCAUAUUCAUGUGAAUAUAUGUGUAUAUUUGAAUGGAUGGAUACAUGCAUAAAUCUGCAUAGUAUAUCGGAUUAAAGGAAAUCUCUAUGUAGUAGGAGAGAAUUAUGAAAUUGCUUUGCAUAAAUAGAACAUUUGCUUGUUUAAUAUGCAAUACUUGAUAUUGUAUAUUUGUGUAGACAAGUUAAAUAGGAUAUCAUUCACGAAUGAAGGGAUAUAAAGCUAUGAAGACGACACUUAGUUUAGAUGUAUAACUAAGUGAAUGAUGCAUUAUAGUGGUUAAUCUUUAAGUUAAAUUCAUGCAAUUUCAUGUUGUAGACAUGAUGACAGAACUCUUAGCACAUCCUGUAUCAUAUAUUUAUAUGGAAAUCAUGUUAAAAGUAUAGUAGAGGAUGAUUCGCAUAUUUGUAUUGGUUAUUGCUUUCACGAAAUGACGGAAUAGAGAUAGCAUGAAUUUCAUGUUCUUAUCUAGAUGAUCUAGUCAAGUAACUAGAAUUGGGCAUUAUAAUAUAAUAUGAAUCUUAUACUAGUGAAUAUGUUCUAGUUAAAUAACUAGAAUUGGACAUGAGGAUAUACGUGUGUAGUCGAGUAGAAGUGUUUGCUUAAUACUUGUUUACUCCAGGUAGUGGAGGUUUUUAUAGAACCAUAGAAUAUGUGCCACGAGUUACAUGAACACUAAAAUGAGUCAUUGAGUAUGACCUUAGUAAACUACUUUCCUUAUGUAUAGGGAGUAGUGAGAAGAACUAUAUGUGAGUAUGAGGGUAUAGCCCGUUAGAAACAUCAAUAUGACGUAAAACAUGUACUUGUUAAGUCAUACUAUCAAUUGGUAGAAACAUGUCACCAAGUAGUUGAUAGUGGAUUAUGACUUAGUGUUAAUUGUCGACCUUGUGUCGAGUUGAGAUUCCAUGUUAGAGACAUGAUGAACUUGUGAUACCUAUGCUAUGGAUUACGCUUGCUUGCCAAUGUGCUCAUUCGCAUAUGCUUGUGAGGGUCGCGCCCCACAAGCCGGCACUUCGGAGUUAGCCUAGCGACAGAUUGCUCGCUUCUGUACAAGACUGAGCGCCGAAGUGGAUUGCUGUGGAUAGUGUUGACUUCCACGAAGCCAUUAGGCACAGCACGGGCUGGAACUUUACCAUAUGUAAGUCUCUUGUUAAUUGGGUUAAUGUUAGAAACUUUAACCUUAGAUGGACAUAGUAGUAAAAAUACUUUAUGUCAUUAGUUGAAUAUACCUAGUAUUGAGUAUACUAGAAGGUUGACAUCCCUGUUGGUCAAUAGUUUAGUGAUAAUUCCUGAAUGUUUACACUCUUGCUAGUGUAGGGAAAUAGCUAUAUGAUGUCAUUAGCUAGUUAAAUUAUAAUGAUGCUAUUCUGCAUACAGCCUGACAUAUAGCUAAUUAAACUGUUAAUUAGCAUAGGUCAUAGAACUCGUUAUGAUAAACUAGUACAUAAGACAUGUUAGAAACAUAUCUGGUGAGGCAUGCUAUAGUUGAUGUAUUUCAUUUACUUGUUGCAUUUACUUUAUUUACUUAUUGUUGUUGACUCAUGCCUCAGUUGACCUAGUGGUGUACUUCGCCACUCUCGGCGGCUUACCCACUGGGAACUAUUGUUUAAUAGUUCUCACGCUCUGUUGUUGGUUGUUUUUGUACAGAGCCUUCCACAGCGAGAAAGGCUAGGGUUCCUGGCAAGGGAUGAGCGGAUAGCUAGAGCCUCCUCGAUGUUAAAUAGAUGGAACCAUACCAGCCUUUCUAGUUUAGUUCAGUAUUGUAUACUGGGUUUAUGUAGAAUGUAUUCUGUUCUUAUCAGUUGUAAUAAGGUUAUGUGUUAUAUAAGUUUAUGAAUUUUUAAGUUUUGCUCUGAUUACCAGGUUAAGAUGUUAUGCUUUUAUUGUGUUAAUUGUAGACGUCUGGUGUACACUUGAGGUUGUGGUGUACACGGCGGGUCUGUACACGUGACUGGUGAGCUUCCGCUGAAGUCCAGGGCGUGAUAUUUAAACCGAAAAGAUCCGAAACCAAGAGCAAGCCAAAACCUGAAGUAACCUGCAUCGCAAUUAACAACAGAACUAAAAGCUGACACAAAAGACCUGAAACUCAAAUUGCCCCAGAUUAGAACAACCUGAAAUUUGAGCAUCCUAAAGCUCAAAGCAAAUCAAAUCAUGGAGUGCUGAGCCCCAGGCCCCCAAGACAAUCCAAACCAAGAGUCUGAUACCUAAUAUGAACCAGAGUGAGUGAAGACCCAAGGUGACCUGAACUCAAGCAACCUGCAACUCAACACUUGAAACAAUCCAAACCCAAGAAACCUUAAACCUGAAACUCAAGGGGUUAAGUGACCCAAACCCAAAAUUACCCCACCCAAACAUAUAGGUUUACAUUCCAACAAUAUUGUAGAGACUAGCAAAAUUUAAUUUUUUUAAGAAAUUUGAUUUUUGAAUUUUUAGUCGAAAUUUGGUUUUCGAGAAAGAGAAGACUAACUUUGCGUAACAAAAACGGAAUCUGACGAAACGAAAUCACCACUUGAAAGGCCUGGCAGUGCCAAAAGUCGUGGUAAAGUCCGUUUUUGGAUUUGACGCAAGAAAAGCGGAAAAUAAAGUGAAAACCGAAAAUUCGCCGAAAAUUGGAAAUUUGUAAUUAGGUGCUUUAUUUUAUGUACAGAAAUCUGCAAAAAGUGGCUGGGAGAAGGCUUUCGCAAAUUACACAGGCUGUGAUAUUAAAGGUUCAGGGGACUUCUGAGCGAUUUUUCAAUCAUUAUAAAAAUUGCUAUUAGGGUUUACUUAAUCCAAACGCUAAUAUCUUCUCUCCCUCAAACCCCCCAGUCGCCAUACUCUCUUCACAGCAACCCCGCCGCCACCUCCGUACCUUCCCACAAACCCCGGCCAACGAAGCCCCGACAAGGCAAUCCCCAGCCCUCUACCCCCCUUCCCCCCCAAUCUUGAACUCGAGGAUCUUCUAGGAGGCCGCGCCACCUCCUGUCAUCACCGCCGGCCCUCCGCAGGUCCAGUGACCCACCCCAGCGCUACCCAAGCGAUCCCUCCCCCCCUCGCCCAACUUGCUGGUUGGUGGGGUGAUCUUGGCCCCAAGAUCUUGGUCGUCGCCUCUACCACUCCCCGUCGUAGCGAUCCACCUCCGGCAACCCCAGAACAUCUUUCGGCGCUGCCCUGACAACCCAGGGCUCCCCUUUUGCCGAUGUUUAAAUCCUAAGCCGAGAGCCCUAGGUUUUGGCCGCGAGCUUCCUAGCGCCGACACUGCUACCGCCUUUCGUUGUCGGCUACUACCUCCCCUAACCCUGUCUGGUCGGCCUCGACCCUCCCCUACCGAGCUCGAUGCCGCUAGCAGCCGAAGCCUGAGGAGAAUAAGAAAGCUCCAAAACAAGGCUCGCGCUAGGGUUUCUUGGACCCUGCUAUCCUGUUCCGAAAUGCGGAAUCAUCGGUGACAGACUAAAACACUAGCAUUUUGUAAGGUACCGGACUUCUAAAACUAUGAAGUUACAGUGUACAUUUAAAUGGUUCCGGUGAGGUUGCGGUGGAAUGUAACAUACCGGAUAUUAAAUAUAAAAGUGAAAAUAAAUAAAAAUAGUAUGAGAUACUAUUUUUAUUGGAUUUAGAGAAGUGAAAUAUAAGUUGGGAAUGACCUGUGCUGAAAUCGGAGCGAAAACAGAAAAUUUAGAAUUUUCUGUAAGAAACGGGGCAGAUAAAUUAGCAGAAAAUGCAGUGUCAAAAAAUUAUGAAAAUUGGCGGAGAUGUCAGAAAUAUUUUUAUGAGGCUAGAUUUAAAGUUUCAUGCCAUUCUGCCACCCGGAAGGUGAAAAAUAGAAUCCGAAAGCUAUCUGAUAAAGAUUACAGUUUGGUACAGUUUUCGGUGACCAAACGAGGUCGAAACUGAAAUAUUAAAAUUUCUUUGGACUUAUUAAGUAAAAUCGAGCCUGCCUGUCAAAUUUGAGCUCAAACGGACAUUCAGAAGGGCUCCGGCAAAAAAUGUCAGUUUCUAAACUGCCCGAAGUGAAUAGUGCAUAGGUGAGGGACUAAGUUGUAAAAAGGGGUUUAAUCCCUUUUCUUCUCCUUCCUCAGCCGCAGCAGCCCCAAACCGCACACACACAUACGCAUACACACACGCAUGGAAGGGAGAGAGAAAACUUCCAUUUCUCUCUCUAAAUCUCUUCCAAAAUUAAAGAAAUUGGUGGAGAUUGAAGCUUGUAGGUGAAUCGUCUUCAUCUUCUUUAUCUUCUCUAUGGUUUGGAGCUAAUUUUGAGGUGAGCUUCUUGAGCCCUCUCAUGAUAGAUCUCUAGGAUUAGCUCUAUAUGCUAUAGAAAUGGAUUUAGUGGCAUUCUUAGAUGCUAAUUAGAUGUUUUAUUGCUUGAAUCCAAGGUUAUAUUGUGUAUUCUUGCAAUAGAUGAAACCUAGGGUUCAAAGUGCAAUUUUUGGAAAUAUGAGGGUUUGAUCUAAUUUGACCUUCCGUAAACCUAAUUGCUAGGUAAACGAACGCGUUGGCGAAGUCGGUUCGGCAAUUCGUCGAGCCGUUAUAGACUUAUGUUGGGGCACCGUGGCACAUAACCGAAGACCUUUAAUUUUCGGAUCGCAAAUCGGAGAUCGUUUGGGUGGUCGCGCGAGAGUUCGAGCCAAACCGGAUUGCGGGUGUCGCAGGCGGCCGAUUGCAAGUGAGUACAAGCAAUCGGAGAGUAAGUUAAGAUGGGUUGUGCUUACCGAAGCGACUAGGUCGCCGUUAUGUCUAAGAGAAUGUAAAUUCUUGUUGAUGCAUAGAUGUUUGUGCAUAUGAACAUAAUAGCAUUAUAGACUUAUGUUGACAAGUAUGAAAGCAUGCUAGAGAACAUGGAUAUAUGAAUAGAAGUUAACAUAUUGUUAAUCCUAUGAGUUAUGAGAUCAUGUUGGAUAAUGCUUAUUGACAUAAUGACAUAGUCUAGAAAUGCUAAAUGUAAUGUGCAUGUUAAUAUGAUAAGAAACCAUGCUAGUGAUAUUUGCAUGAUAAUGCAUUGAUAGUACAUGCUAGUAAGUAAAUGCAUAUUAAUACAUAUGUGUAUAAUGAGCAUGUUGGAUAAGAUUCGUGUACAUGUAGACUCGAGAUGACAAUAGGAUGUCAAGUAGAUCGAAUGGCACUUAACCUAGUGUUAAAGAACAUAGGUGGUGAAUGAAUCUAGGGUCAUGUGAACUAGAUCGAGUAGCAUCU